UACGUAGGGUGCGAGCGUUAUUCGGAAUUACUGGGCGUAAAGCGUGCGCGGGCGGUUCGUUAAGUUCGUUGUGAAAGCCCCGGGCUCAACCUGGGAACUGCAAUGGAAACUGGCGGGCUUGAGUGUGGCAGAGGGGGGUGGAAUUCCGCGUGUAGCAGUGAAAUGCGUAGAGAUGCGGAGGAACACCGAUGGCGAAGGCAGCCCCCUGGGCCAACACUGACGCUCAGGCACGAAAGCGUGGGGAGCAAACAGG
RNAcentral lists this ribosomal RNA (253 nucleotides) under uncultured bacterium. RNAcentral's name for it is "partial 16S ribosomal RNA". It matches the Rfam family "Bacterial small subunit ribosomal RNA", at positions 524 to 776 of the family's 1533-position model. The record is from RNAcentral.